CUGAGCUCUAUUUAUAGAUUUUCAGGACAGUGGAGUUCGCUAAGCGAAAUGACGUUCGCUGAGCGAACUAGUUACUUAAGCAAGGGGUUUCUUGACACGUAGCAAAAGGCUUGACUCAUCACUUUGUUCGCCGAUGCUCGCUAUGUCUCGCUAACAGACCCUUCCUCCCGGGUUGUGCUCGCCAUCUCUCGCUAUCUUUCGCUGAGCGAACGUUUAGUUUGCUAUUCUGCUCGCUGAAUCUCGCUGAAGCUCGCCAUAGACCCUUAACCCACUGGUUUAGUUCGUUGUAGCUCGCUAUGGCUUCGCUGAACGAAGGCUUCAAAACCUGCUUUUCUAGCCAUUCCUAACAAAAAUGCCUUGGGAUCAAUUCCUCUUUGAUUUAAUGUUAUAUUUAC
This 395-nucleotide long non-coding RNA is filed under the name Trifolium pratense (red clover). Its description in RNAcentral is "long non-coding RNA (TPRA_LNC014012)". The record is from RNAcentral. Lineage: Eukaryota; Viridiplantae; Streptophyta; Magnoliopsida; Fabales; Fabaceae.